UACAGAGGGGGCAAGCGUUAUUCGGAAUUAUUGGGCGUAAAGGGCGCGUAGGCGGCUUUGCAAGUGGCGGGUGAAAUCCCUCGGCUUAACCGAGGAACUGCCUGCCAGACUGUGAGGCUUGAGACCGGGAGAGGUGAGUGGAAUUCCCCAAGUAGAGGUGAAAUUCGUAGAUAUCGAGAGGAACACCGGUGGCGAAGGCGGCCUUCUGGACAGUGACUGACGCUGGAGACGCGAAAGCGUGGGGAGCAAACAGG
RNAcentral lists this ribosomal RNA (254 nucleotides) under uncultured bacterium. RNAcentral's name for it is "partial 16S ribosomal RNA". It matches the Rfam family "Bacterial small subunit ribosomal RNA", at positions 524 to 776 of the family's 1533-position model. The record is from RNAcentral.